This 253-nucleotide ribosomal RNA is filed under the name uncultured bacterium. Its description in RNAcentral is "partial 16S ribosomal RNA". It matches the Rfam family "Bacterial small subunit ribosomal RNA", at positions 524 to 776 of the family's 1533-position model. The record is from RNAcentral.
UACGUAGGGCGCAAGCGUUAUCCGGAAUUAUUGGGCGUAAAGAGCUCGUAGGCGGUUUGUCGCGUCUGCCGUGAAAGUCCGGGGCUCAACUCCGGAUCUGCGGUGGGUACGGGCAGACUAGAGUGAUGUAGGGGAGACUGGAAUUCCUGGUGUAGCGGUGAAAUGCGCAGAUAUCAGGAGGAACACCGAUGGCGAAGGCAGGUCUCUGGGCAUUAACUGACGCUGAGGAGCGAAAGUAUGAGGAGCGAACAGG